This 84-nucleotide transfer RNA is filed under the name Desmophyllum pertusum. Its description in RNAcentral is "tRNA-Gln". The record is from RNAcentral. Lineage: Eukaryota; Metazoa; Cnidaria; Anthozoa; Scleractinia; Caryophylliidae.
ACCCAGUGGGAGACGUGGUGGCCUAAUGGUUAGCGCGCUGGACUCUGGACCGAGUGGUCCGGGUUUCGAGCCCUGACCUGGGUG